AGACCCGAAACCCGGUGAUCUAGCCAUGGGCAGGUUGAAGGUUGGGUAACACUAACUGGAGGACCGAACCGACUAAUGUUGAAAAAUUAGCGGAUGACCUGUGGCUGGGGGUGAAAGGCCAAUCAAACCGGGAGAUAGCUGGUUCUCCCCGAAAGCUAUUUAGGUAGCGCCUCGUGAAUUCAUCUCCGGGGGUAGAGCACUGUUUCGGCUAGGGGGCCAUCCCGGCUUACCAACCCGAUGCAAACUGCGAAUACCGGAGAAUGUUAUCACGGGAGACACACGGCGGGUGCUAACGUCCGUCGUGAAGAGGGAAACAACCCAGACCGCCAGCUAAGGUCCCAAAGUCAUGGUUAAGUGGGAAACGAUGUGGGAAGGCCCAGACAGCCAGGAUGUUGGCUUAGAAGCAGCCAUCAUUUAAAGAAAGCGUAAUAGCUCACUGGUCGAGUCGGCCUGCGCGGAAGAUGUAACGGGGCUAAACCAUGCACCGAAGCUGCGGCAGCGACACUAUGUGUUGUUGGGUAGGGGAGCGUUCUGUAAGCCUGUGAAGGUGGCCUGUGAGGGUUGCUGGA
This 569-nucleotide ribosomal RNA is filed under the name Salmonella enterica. RNAcentral's name for it is "partial 23S ribosomal RNA". It matches the Rfam family "Bacterial large subunit ribosomal RNA", at positions 711 to 1277 of the family's 2925-position model. The record is from RNAcentral. Lineage: Bacteria; Pseudomonadati; Pseudomonadota; Gammaproteobacteria; Enterobacterales; Enterobacteriaceae.